CACGUAGGGGGCGAGCGUUGUCCGGAUUUAUUGGGCGUAAAGAGCUCGUAGGCGGCUCAGUAAGUCAGGUGUGAAAACUCCAGGCUCAACCUGGAGACGCCAUCUGAUACUGCUGUGGCUAGAGUCCGGUAGGGGAGCAUGGAAUUCCUGGUGUAGCGGUGAAAUGCGCAGAUAUCAGGAGGAACACCAGUGGCGAAGGCGGUGCUCUGGGCCGGAACUGACGCUGAGGAGCGAAAGCGUGGGGAGCAAACGGG
RNAcentral lists this ribosomal RNA (254 nucleotides) under uncultured bacterium. RNAcentral describes it as "partial 16S ribosomal RNA". It matches the Rfam family "Bacterial small subunit ribosomal RNA", at positions 524 to 776 of the family's 1533-position model. The record is from RNAcentral.